CCUGGCUCAGGAUGAACGCUAGCGGCAGGCUUAACACAUGCAAGUAGAACGGUAACAGUCCUUCGGGAGCUGACGAGUUGCGAACGGGUGCGUAACGCGUAUGCAACCUACCUAUAACUGAGAGAUAGCCCAUAGAAAUGUGGAUUAAUACCUCAUAACAACUUAAGAUGGCAUCAUCUAAAGUUUAAAACUCCGGUGGUUAUAGAUGGGCAUGCGUGACAUUAGCUAGUUGGUGAGGUAACUGCUCACCAAGGCUACGAUGUCUAGGGGUUCUGAGAGGAUGAUCCCCCACACUGGUACUGAGACACGGACCAGACUCCUACGGGAGGCAGCAGUGAGGAAUAUUGCGCAAUGGAGGAAACUCUGACGCAGCCAUGCCGCGUGCAGGAUGACUGCCCUAUGGGUUGUAAACUGCUUUUAUAUAGGAAGAACUACAGAUACGUGUAUUUGUUUGACGGUACUAUACGAAUAAGGACCGGCUAACUCCGUGCCAGCAGCCGCGGUAAUACGGAGGGUCCAAGCGUUAUCCGGAUUUAUUGGGUUUAAAGGGUCCGUAGGCGGGUCAUUAAGUCAGUGGUGAAAUCCUACAGCUCAACUGUAGAACUGCCAUUGAAACUGGUGACCUUGAAUAUAAUUGAAGUAGGCGGAAUGUGUCAUGUAGCGGUGAAAUGCUUAGAUAUGCCACAGAACACCGAUUGCGAAGGCAGCUUACUAAGUUAUUAUUGACGCUGAGGGACGAAAGCGUGGGUAGCGAACAGGAUUAGAUACCCUGGUAGUCCACGCCGUAAACGAUGUAUACUCGUUGCUAGCGAUACACAGUUAGUGACCAAGCGAAAGUAUUAAGUAUACCACCUGGGGAGUACGAUCGCAAGAUUGAAACUCAAAGGAAUUGA
Molecule: ribosomal RNA, 893 nt
Filed under: marine metagenome
Description: bacterial SSU rRNA
Rfam family: Bacterial small subunit ribosomal RNA
Source: RNAcentral